Molecule: unclassified non-coding RNA, 253 nt
Filed under: uncultured Planctomycetia bacterium
Lineage: Bacteria; Pseudomonadati; Planctomycetota; Planctomycetia
Description: contains 16S-23S intergenic spacer region
Rfam family: Bacterial small subunit ribosomal RNA
Source: RNAcentral
GACGAACCGUGCGAACGUUGUUCGGAAUCACUGGGCUUAAAGGGCGCGUAGGCGGACGGCCAAGUCCGGGGUGAAAUCCUCCAGCUCAACUGGAGAAUGGCCUCGGAUACUGGUUGUCUCGAGUGAGGUAGGGGCGUGCGGAACUGAUGGUGGAGCGGUGAAAUGUGUUGAUAUCAUCAGGAACUCCGGUGGCGAAGGCGGCGCGCUGGACCUCUUCUGACGCUGAGGCGCGAAAGCUAGGGGAGCGAACGGG